CGCGUAGGCGGCAUUGCAAGUCAGAUGUGAAAGCCCCGGGCUUAACCUGGGAAUUGCAUCUGAAACUGUUUUGCUUGAGUCCUGGAGGGGAUAGUGGAAUUCCCAGUGUAGCGGUGAAAUGCGUAGAUAUUGGGAGGAACACCUGCGGCGAAGGCGGCUAUCUGGACAGUGACUGACGCUGAUGCGCGAAAGCUAGGGGAGCAAACA
This 207-nucleotide ribosomal RNA is filed under the name uncultured Acidobacteriota bacterium. RNAcentral's name for it is "uncultured Acidobacteria bacterium partial 16S ribosomal RNA". It matches the Rfam family "Bacterial small subunit ribosomal RNA", at positions 568 to 774 of the family's 1533-position model. The record is from RNAcentral. Lineage: Bacteria; Pseudomonadati; Acidobacteriota.